GUGGGCACUGGGACCACAGAGGCAAACAGGCAGGCAAGAUCUUACCUGAUCUUGGAAGUUAAGUAGAGUUGGGCCUGGCUAGUACUCGGAUGAGAGAAUGCCUGAGAAUACUGGGUGCUGCAGGCU
Molecule: ribosomal RNA, 126 nt
Filed under: Carlito syrichta (Philippine tarsier)
Lineage: Eukaryota; Metazoa; Chordata; Mammalia; Primates; Tarsiidae
Source: RNAcentral